AAGCAAGAACCGGCAGUAAUGGCAGAGCUGGAUGAAAGAUUGAGAAGACUAAACUCGUUGAAAAUGGAUGAAAAAUAGCAGUUACCAUCACAGUUUGAUCAAAGUUGUUACUUUUAAGACAUUCCAAAGAAGGGGCUUGUUACUUCCAUGGAAGUGAGAAUGUUUAAUUUUAUGGAGUUCCAUCUGUGAAGAGGGGAGGACCCAGUAAAGGGUGUCUGCUGAUUUCAAUGAUGA
This 234-nucleotide unclassified non-coding RNA is filed under the name Hevea brasiliensis (rubber tree). The record is from RNAcentral. Lineage: Eukaryota; Viridiplantae; Streptophyta; Magnoliopsida; Malpighiales; Euphorbiaceae.